Non-coding RNA from Euryarchaeota archaeon RBG_16_68_13, 71 nucleotides. The record is from Rfam. NCBI's taxonomy places the organism in Archaea, Methanobacteriati, Methanobacteriota.
GCGCCGGUAGUCUAGUGGUAGGACUAAGGCUUCCCAAGCCUUCGAUGCGGGUUCGAUUCCCGCCCGGCGCA